This is a long non-coding RNA of Cervus hanglu yarkandensis (Yarkand deer), 2423 nucleotides long. The record is from Ensembl. Lineage: Eukaryota; Metazoa; Chordata; Mammalia; Artiodactyla; Cervidae.
UGGGGCAUGCUUUAUGCAUGUUCUUAGUUAGAAUUAGCUAAGAUUCCAGGUUUAUUUGCAGAAAGUUCAUAUUUAACUUUCAAACAAAUGUUUUGGUUAAAGGAGAAAAGAAAGUUGGGGGUGAGUUGGGGUAGUAUCACAAAAGGUAGGAGGAGGAGGAGACCAAUGAAGGGAUGGAAUGCAUAUCUGUCAAGUCUGUCUUGCUCCAGGGACCAUUGGACCCAGAAGAAAACCUACAGUCCAAGGCUUCAUCUUCAUGAGAGACAUUAGGACGUGUACUUAAGCAGAGCUGCAUGGAAUUCAUCUGAGAAAUGGUGCCAAAGUAAGAGGCAGGCUUCUCUGGUGUCUCAGCCAUUAAGAAUCCUCCUGCAACAUAGGAGAUGCAGGUUCGAUCCCGCAGUCAGGCAGAUCCCUUGGAGGAGGGCACCGGCAACCCACUCCAGUAUUCUUGCCUGGAGAACCCCAUGGACAGAGGAGCCUGGUGGGCUAGAGUCCAUCGGGUCACAAAGAGCCAGACGCAACAGAAGGACUGAGCAGGCACACACAAGUAAGGGGCAGGGCCAUUUUUCUUGCCCCUCCUCCCUUUCUUAACCAUAUCAUCCAGUACAUAUUUGAUUCCCAAGGUCUCAAGCAGCAAGAGAAUGGAUGACAGUGAAAAGAAUACUGGGGCACAAGCAGGCAAGGAAGAGUCCAGAACAAAAUGGUGAGCAGAUUUCUUGUUUUAUUGUUUCAUUUGAGGCUGCAGAUGCAAGAUUAUCUGGGGAGUGAGUUAGAGUCUGUGGUUUGGGGAUUCCAGGGCAGACAUCCCAACUGGUGUCAGAGGUCAGCAGACAGAUUCUUGGGAGCAGACUCAGGUUUCUGAAUCCUGGGACAGAGAGUCACUCCAGCCCAGAGUUCAGAACCUCACCUGGGACCUCUCAGGCAAUCUCACGAGGAGGAGGAGGAAGUGUUUGUCCAUCUGUUGUCCCCAGGCCAGCUCUUCUUGGCUCAGGGUCCACUUCAGCAGCAGCCGCCUCCAGAGGACUGACUGCUUCCCCCUCCGCAGCACCCGGAGUCCCCCGAGGGCUGGGGGCAGCAGUCAGAGCUCUGGGGUCUGCAGUGGUGGGACCUGCGGCGCCUGUGGUGGCUCGGGCAGCAGCCCCCAGACCCAGAGCUGCAGCAGCCCCCGGAGCUGGGGCCACAGCAGCCCCCGGAGCUGGGGCCACAGCAGGAGGAGACUGGGGGGCACUUUGGGGGGCAUUUAGGGGUGGGGCACUUGGGGGCACACUUGGGAGGGGGCUGGCACUGCUGUUGGUUCUGCUGGCAGGACAUCUUGGUGAUGGGCGGGUUCAGGAGCUGAGGGAGAGACAGACAGCAGGUCAGACCAGCACACAGAGACCUCCCUGCCCCUUCCUGAACUUUCAGAAUCUUUCUAGCGCCUUUAUCUUGAAAGCUUUCAGAUCAGACAUAAGAAAAUCAUCUCUUUCGUGCUCAUUAACAUUUCCUAAGUGUCAGAAAAAAGACCAGGAAAUAAACUGGCUCCAGGUCAGCAUUCUCUCUACCACAUCACCAGGAUCCUUGAAAAUGUCCAAUGUAGGGGCCAUUUUAGAGCUGAAAGCCUCAUUAAGGAAAAAGCAAAAUCUUCCUCUCCCUGAAGAAUUUCUGAUAUGUUUUCAUUUUGCAGAACAUAGAAAAUUGAAACUGCAAAGGGCCUUGGAAUCAAUGUGUCCCAAUCAGCUCAUUUCAGAAGAAACUGAAACAAACAGAGGCAAAUUCACUGGCUCGGGGCUAUUCACAAACACAUCACAGUUUCAUCCCCAGGUUCCCUGACUCCCAACCCAAAGACUGUCUUAUAUCCUGCUCCCCAGGCCUGUCACUGGGCUGCUCAGCCUCACUAUGGAUCUUCUUGUUGGAAUCCAAACAGAUCCACAAGUGUCUCUGAUUUUCUCCACUAAGUAGCAGCAUCCUCAGUCCAUUAUUUCUACAACUGGGUAGGGAUAUGUUUCCAUAAUGAUGUUUCCAUUAUACACCCCCACUCCAGCAUAAUCUAGAGGUCAGUAUUUUUAUUCCCUAAAAGCAGAAAAACACACCCAGCAACUGAAAACCAUUUGGUUUCUCUAAAGCUCCAGCACCAGCCACAAAAAUCUUCCCAGUAGCUCUUGGUCUCUCUCACUCAUCUUAUCCUUCCCUCCUUCAGAUUCCUGAGCUUUUGUCCUUGCUGGCCACAACUCCAGCCCCUGUUUCUGCCCUGCCCUCCCUCUGGUCUGAGCAUCCUCUGUGGAAGGCCCUGCUCCCACUCCCAGUGGACACUCACCGGUGCACACACAGCACAGAGUCGUCAGCACCUCAGGAGAGGAGUGGAUGGAGGUGCUCUGGCCCCAAGGCCCUUUUAUCCUGGCCUUGGGCUCUGCCCUCAGGUGUGAGCCAGGGCCUGGGCAUGAGAG